GAUGAAGAACGUAGCGAAAUGCGAUACGUAAUGUGAAUUGCAGAAUUCAGUGAAUCAUCGAAUUUUUGAACGCACAUUGCGCCCGCCAGCACUCUGGCGGGCAUGCCUGUUCGAGCGUCAUUUCAACCAUCAAGCCCCAGGCUUGCGUUGGAGCCCUGCGGCUGCCGCAGCCUCCUAAAAGCAGUGGCGGGCUCGCUAUCACACCGAGUGCAGUAGAUUACUCUUCGCUCAGGGCGUGCAGCGGGUUCCGGCCGUGAACCCCCCUACUUUUAAAGGUUGACCUCGGAUCAGGUAGGAAUACCCGCUGAACUUAAGCAUAUCAAUAAGCGGAGGA
RNAcentral lists this unclassified non-coding RNA (334 nucleotides) under soil metagenome. RNAcentral describes it as "partial contains 5.8S ribosomal RNA, internal transcribed spacer 2, and large subunit ribosomal RNA". The stretch from base 1 to 120 matches the Rfam family "5.8S ribosomal RNA", at positions 35 to 154 of the family's 154-position model. The record is from RNAcentral.